UGCCCGGGGCGGGCUCUGCCCAGGGGAAGAGUCAGGGCAGAGCCACUGCCUCCCACUGGACCGGGCCAGACCCCCGUGCCCCCAGCUGCAGGCCAGGCCCAGGGGAGGAGCGGGAGAUCGGAUGCUGCCAUCAGGCCCCAUACGCUAGCAGAGGGAGAGGCCAGGCUGGGGUGAGGCCUCCUGGGGUGGGGAAAAUGGGUGCUGAGCUGCCAGCACCAGUGGUUGACCUUCCCUGGCCAGCAUGGGUGCACCCUCUAGUGAAGAUGGAAGAUCAGGACCUGGCAGCUCCCAAUUCUGAGGCAGGAGCUGAAGGGACAGGGGACAAGCCUUAUGUCAUCCAGACUAGGAACAGCUAGACACCCAAAAGGAUCAAGCAGGAGCCAUGAGAAGGGCUGGCUUACCACUGGGAGGUGCGGUGGCGGGAGACCCAGGCCCCGUGUCCCCUUGCUAAGACUGUGCCAGCCCCAGGACCCACGUGGCUGCUGGAGCCGUCGCCGUCACCGUCAUCAUGGGACAACCCCUUGUCAGGAGACGCGGCGCCAGUGCUUCCAGGAAUUGGGCUGCCAGGAGGCUGAGGGGCCAUGGGAGGUUUGUAGUCGCCUGCAGGAGCUCUGCCAGCGAUGGUUGGGGCCCUAGCGCAGCACCAAGGAGCAGAUGCUGGAGCUGGUGGUGCUGGGGCAGUUCCUGGCCAUCCUGCCCCAGAAGAUGCAGGGCUGGGAGCGGGAGUGCAGCAUGGAGACCUGCAGCAGGGCAGUGGCCAUGGCUGAGGUGUUUUGACUGGGCCUGGUGGAGAAUGAGAUGCUUCAGGUGAGAGCAUUUCACCCCCACAAUGAUGCUAUGUCCGUCUCCCUGUGUUUGGGGACGUUCCCUCCCAGCCCCAUCUCUCCCAGCAAUGUGGCUGUCUUGUCCCCAGGUCACAGUGCAUGCCAAGGUCAAGGACGUGGCCUCAGACAAGAUGGUGCCCAUUGGGGUAUUGUGGGAGGCUCUUGACCCCUGGCCUGAGCAGCCUCAGCCCUAUCCUAUGGACAUUCCUCAGGAGCAGACAGGAUGGGGUGAAACCCCAGGGGCCCAGGACGAGCUGCCUGAUGUCCCACAUCAGCUGGAGUCGGGUAAUGUGCCAGAUGCAGGGCAGGGUUUGAGUCUUGGCACCUAAAUAGCUGCCUCAGUCAGAUUGCAGGCAGACUGGACAGCCUUCUCUCUCCCUGUCUCCUGGUGUUGGAGCGAUGCAGUCGGCAUCCCAUGCAGCCUCCUUUGACUUUGCAGCCUGAGCGACCAGCAACCCAUUGACAGAAAGUUCCCACAAUAUUUUCAUUAAAAUGAAUAGGGGAAAAAACAAACACUUUUUUAAGUGUUUGUUUUUUGGUUGCAUUUAUUUUUGUGAGGAACACUCCACCCUCGACCACCACCUCCAAAAUGCGUGAUCCAAGUGAUGUUUUCCAUAAAUACCAGAAACAGCA
Alligator mississippiensis (American alligator) is the source of this 1457-nucleotide long non-coding RNA. RefSeq lists it as uncharacterized. The record is from RefSeq and is a predicted model, not a curated record. NCBI's taxonomy places the organism in Eukaryota, Metazoa, Chordata, Crocodylia, Alligatoridae. The transcript is spliced from 2 exons.